Long non-coding RNA from Carassius auratus (goldfish), 1237 nucleotides. RefSeq lists it as uncharacterized. The record is from RefSeq and is a predicted model, not a curated record. The transcript has 3 exons. NCBI's taxonomy places the organism in Eukaryota, Metazoa, Chordata, Actinopteri, Cypriniformes, Cyprinidae.
ACCUUUAAAGAUUGUUAUUUGAUCAAUAAAUGUUGAUGGGCAAAGUAGACUAAUAGUGUUAUCUAUUAAAUAGGCCUACACAAAACCCUUGUAUGAAAAACAUAUUUAAAAAAAGGACCAGAUAUGGCUGUCAUGCCAUAAAAUAUGUUUUAAUAUGACUGGCUUUGUAUUUAAUGUGAAUUUAGUACUAAGUUGCUAAUUAAUUAAUGCUUUCAAUUAACAGAAGGCAAACAUACACUAGCAAAGAAAAUUUUAAUUCAGUCUGCUCUAGCCAGAGUUCAGGUACCCGCAAAAACUCCCAUUAAAAUCAGUGAAGCUGUUUACAUUGUGAAAUGAAUAACUUAUUCUUAUGCACAUCUGCACUUUAUUGUUUCUGAUGAGAGAAUUCAACAGGUAAUAUAGUCAGCGAGCAAGUGAGCAACAGCGAUGACCCACAUGAACGUCAAUGAUUGGCCAUUGCAUUAAUAAGCUCGUGUAUGAUUGGUUAUAAUUCACCGCUGUACAACGCUUCUCACUCUGGCUCAGCACCAGCCAAAGAGCGAGCAGUUUUGAAUUUAGCAGCUGAUGCUUUGCACGCUGAAUUCUUAUCACACAGGUGUGUUCCUAUGAUAAUAUAAAAUAUAUUAUACGGCUAUAUUUUGUCUUUUGGAAGCUGCAUUGAAAAUCCACUUGGCAUGAAAAUCUGUGGAGCACGUGCCCCCUCACUUUAAAUGGGCAUGCCGCUUCUGAUUACAGAGAACGUCAUCCUAGUGUCACAGACGGCGCAUGUGAAAUGUGUGUUCAGAGCAGAGAACAGCGGCCUUAUCACGUCCUCCUUCUGUCCAGUGCCUCAAGGGGACGGAUUCUAUUGUUUCUAGAAAAAGACCAGUCCCAAACUGCCAUUCAGCACCUUGGAGAGCAGCAGCAUGCUUUCUUUGAAGUGCAGAUUGUAAGAGAUUGUGCUAAUUCAGCAUUUAUUGACCUUCAUGUCUGCAUAAAUACUCAUAGACAUGCAUUAUAGACUCACUCACCUAUUGUUCUUUCUUAUGUCUGUGUGAAAGAAUGUCUUUAAUAGAAUUGAUUGCUGCAAAUGAACCACCAUCACCAUGCCUGUAAAAAUGUUUGUCAUAUUGCAUAAAUAUGUAUGAUGAAUGUAAACAGCAUAGGGUAAUUCCCAGUUAAUAAACCAUGGAAAGGCAUAGGUGGUGAAAUUUACAUUUCAAAGGAAUGUUCUACAUAGUGAUCAUAGACAAUAUAC